Xenopus laevis (African clawed frog) is the source of this 211-nucleotide long non-coding RNA. RefSeq lists it as uncharacterized. NCBI's taxonomy places the organism in Eukaryota, Metazoa, Chordata, Amphibia, Anura, Pipidae. The transcript is spliced from 3 exons. The record is from RefSeq and is a predicted model, not a curated record.
AUGAGUCACAGUACGUCUGGGCGGAUUCCAUACCUGGCGCCAGAAGUACUGGCCAAUUUUGGCAAGAAGACCAUAUGGUAUAACUCUAAGGCUGACAUAUGGUCCUUGGGAAUAUCAGCACUUCAAAUGGCGGAAGGCUAUUACCCAUUCAGCAGAUUUCCCCAGCAAAAACUCAUGAAACGCAUCAUGCAUGGACCUGCACCAGUAUUAU